UACGUAGGGUGCAAGCGUUGUCCGGAAUUAUUGGGCGUAAAGAGCUCGUAGGCGGUUUGAUCGCGUCUGCUGUGAAAACCCGAGGCUCAACCUCGGGUCUGCAGUCGAUACGAGCAAACUAGAGUGUUGCAGGGGAGACUGGAAAUUCCUGGUGUAGCGGUGAAAUGCGCAGAUAUCAGGAGGAACACCGGUGGCGAAGGCGGGUCUCUGGGCAACAACUGACGCUGAGGAGCGAAAGCGUGGGGAGCGAACAGGA
RNAcentral lists this ribosomal RNA (256 nucleotides) under uncultured bacterium. RNAcentral describes it as "partial 16S ribosomal RNA". It matches the Rfam family "Bacterial small subunit ribosomal RNA", at positions 524 to 777 of the family's 1533-position model. The record is from RNAcentral.